GAGGAGAGUGAGGGAGGGAAAGAGGAAGAAGGGGGUGAGAGGGAGAAACCUGCUGCCGCUCGCCGGCUCUUUGUCUGCUCGGGGACUUGGAACAAAAGGGGAAACUCUGAUGAACUCUCUCCAUCCUCCUCCUCCCUGACGCCUGGUUAUCUCUCCUCUCACAACUUUGCUGGAGAGACUCUUUUUAGUGCCAGGCACCCAACAAGUUCGGGCGCUUUAGGAACUGGAGUUGGAGAAUCAUCUCCUUUAAGAAUGGAUAAAAGAGGGGGGGAGAAGAAGGUGGUGGAAUGAUGAUGGGCAACAUCUAGGAAGCAUUGCAUUGUCUAGAAGACCUUUCUUGCAAGGUACUUUCUCCAGACUACAUUGUUCUUGUUGGACAUUUUUGACAGUGGAUAUAACCAUGUCAAAUCAUUAUUGGGUGAAACAUAUCAACCAACUUGGAAUUAUUGUUGGAGUUCAUAACACUGGGAUUUUUGGAUGUGACAUGACUAAUAUGAAGGAUACUAUUACUGUCGGGAAUACAGCUUCCUGAUCACUGGAAAUUCUUUGGCUCAUAAAAGGAAUUGGUCAAAUAUCACUUUACUGGGUGGCUGCUGAAGCAUGAUCACAAGACAUUCAGAAUGACGGAUGAGUGCCUCUCAGGUCUCAAGAGUUUCAUAUGUUUGUGGAGCAAUUUGUGGGUAGGAAGACGAAAUGAAGCUGCACAUUCUCUACUGUGAUCUGUACAUUUCAGGGAGGACUGAAGUUCUUGAGACCUUACUAUAUUUUUAUGCAUGUGAGAUUUAUUCUAUUCCUACCAUUGAGGACAUUGAUUGGAGCAGAAAUUUGUAUCACUGAAUAUUGAGACUGAGAGCUUUGGGAAAUGGAAGCACACAUAUGGAUUAUUUUAAAAGAUAACAAAAAAGCAAACCCCUAAAAUACACAAAACCAAAACAACCCUAGUAAAAAGAAAAUAAGUUCUCUUUGACACUGUUUUUUUCUUUCUUUUUUUUAUUCUUCAAAAGCAAGAUGGUCUUUUUAAAAAUCUUGAAAAUCAAUACUUUUCCAGGUCACCCUUUGUAACAUCACACAGCUAGAUGGAACUCUUUGUUUUAUCAAAGAAUGACCCUUUCAUCUGUUGAGAUAUAAUUUCUGCCAGCAUUUGAUUUUGAAGGUUGUCAUUUCAUCCUCCAGUUUUUCUUUUUAUUGUCCUAUCCAGAUCUACUUGAAGGUUUCGUAUAUUUGCUGUAUGAUUUUUUGUCAUUGUUGUCAUUUCUUUUCAGACCAAAAGGAAGAGGGAAAAAUAAAGUAAAAUAAACCAUUUCUAACAAUCAACAACCUCUGUUUAAUUCCUGGGGUUUGUAAGACCAGAGACUGGUUUGGUUGUGCUUAUUCUGUCCAGUUUUUAUGAUGCAUGGAACUAGAUAGGCCAUUUCCUGUGUUUCACUAAGCCACUUUAAAAGGGGUCAGAAUUCAUUCAGCUCUUGAGAGUACAUUUUAGCCCCCUGAAGCACUUGUUAACUAAAUGGUGCCCUAAUUGCCUCCAAAUAACUCUCCCAUUUCCCCUCUCUUAGAAUAUUUGUCCAGCAGGCUCUACCCCCAUUGACUUUUGCUGUGCAAACUCCAAUACCCUGUUAACAUUCCAUUAGGAUGAAUAUAGAACCAAGAAAAGCUUGCAUGUGAGUGAAAGGAUCAGAAGUGAAGCUUAGACUGUGAGAUUCAGAAAAUGAUUAGGUGGAAUAUUUUUUUGAACAGAGGCAAGACAGUGAAGCCAGGUGAUGAAGUCAAAAGAAGGGAGUAAAGAUAUCAAAAUGACUCUUUUGCCAUUCUUGAUCGUCAUGGUAUAUUAUGAUAUGUUCUGAAAUUGUUUAUUUGGUUCCUUUGACCAGACAAGCCUCUUUUGAAUCCCUUCUUUUGUUCUCUUACCUUGCUUCCUAAGCUCUUUAAAUAGGAAAGGAUAGAUAGAAUUAUAAAACUCAGAAAGGUUUUUGUUGACAUUAACUUGAGGUAUAUAACCCAAGAGGCUCGAGAUACACCAGACAUAGCUCACAACCUUGGUGUUACCCUGGACUUCUGACUCUCUGUUACCCUAUCUCCUUUCCCCCAUAUCCAUUGUCAGGUCCUGUUAUUUCUACCUUUGUUAUGUCUCUGGUAUAUAUAGUCUCUUUUCCACCACCCUGGAGUAAGCUCUUAUUGCUUCAUGCAUGGGAUAUUACAUUUGCCUUCUGGUAGAGCUCCCCGGCCCAAGUCUUUUCCCUUUCUAGUCCAUCCUCAAUUUGGUUGUCAAAUUAAUCUUCCUAAAGUAGCAAUUCUGAUCAUAGCCAACCCACACCCUCCACUCAUUAAACUUCAGUGGCUCCUUAUUUCCUCCAAGAACAAAUGUAAAACCCUCUAGUUGAUGUUCAAAGAUCUUCAUGUUCUGGGACCUCCUCCCCACCAUCAACUUUUCCAUUCUUCUUAUGCCUUAGUUCAUCAUCUCCUCAACCCCAAUCUUUAUGUAAAAUGUACUGAAACUGUGAUUCAAUGACACUGUCCUUGCUGGUCCUUGAAUUAGAUUCUAUUUCUCCCUUUCCAGGUAGCCCAUGAACUCAAGAAUUUUCCCCCCUCAUUUUUACUAUUCUUUCUCUUUCCUUCUUCCUUUUAUCUCUCCCCUGAUCAAAGCAUCUCAGACCUAGAAUGGAUCUCAGAAGUUAUCUAAUUCAGAAUAUGUAUGUGAAAUGCCUCGGGAUCCCUGUUGGGAAUUAAGAGGCAAAUUGAAUAUAUUAUAUUAUUUGUGAAGGUAGCUAGAUAGUUUAGUGUAUAGAGCACUGGGACUGGAGUCAGAAAGACCUGUCUUCAAAUCUAAUCUCAGAUACUUACUAGCUGUGUGAUCCUGGAUAAGUCACUUAAUUUUAUGUGCCUCAGUUCUUCAUCUGUAAAAUGAGCUAGAGAAGGAAAUGGCAAAACCAUACCAGAUUAAAAAAAACACCUC
This is a non-coding RNA of Monodelphis domestica (gray short-tailed opossum), 2950 nucleotides long. The record is from RefSeq and is a predicted model, not a curated record. NCBI's taxonomy places the organism in Eukaryota, Metazoa, Chordata, Mammalia, Didelphimorphia, Didelphidae.